GUUAAGGCUAAAACUCUGACUCAACAAGCCAUUUCUUUACCUCAGAACCUAAAAGCAGGGCACCAAGCCUGGGAUUUUAAUAACAAAUUUCAAAGCAUGACACCAAUAAAAAAUUUUUCUUAAUGUUAUAUACAAGUCAUAGGAGAACACAUUUAAAUUUCUAACCAGCAUGUGCAUCACCUAGCCCUACGGGUGCAUGGGAUAGCUUGACAAGUUUUUUUUAUUUGUUAUAUUAUAUUCUUUGAAAUGAGGGAAACAACUGAACAUCAGCCAAUUCUGAGGACAUUCUCAAAAAUGUCCUCAAGAAAAAUAAAUGAGGGAAAAACAUAAUUAAUCCUGACACUGGUGAUUUGCACUGCAAUGAUAAAAAUGGAGAUAGUAAGUACAUUGUCACAGACCUUGAAAGACAGUGAGAGUGAAGAGAAUGUGGGUGGCAAGCAGUUACUGGAGCUGACACCAUUAUGCCAAAAUAAAUUAUCUAUUUUAUAGGUAGAUUGUAUGGUUGAGUUUAUCUAGCACUCAGAUGGGAACUACCCCUGCUGCAUGACACACAAUACAGCAGGGAAUAUUUGGCUUUCAAGCUUGUUGACAUAGGUGCCGUGUAGCUGAGCAUGGUGUGAGAUGCUGAGGGUCAGUGUUUACAGCUCAUGCUGCUUUCCAUCUCCAUCAGCCCUGUGCAGCUGAAGCUCUGUACCCUCGCUGGUCCCAGAGAUGCUGAGGACUCUGCUCCUGGGGACAUCGCCAUAUGGAGAAGAAUGUUCCCAAGGCACAAAGCAGCCCAUCAGAGAGGGAGGGGUCCCCCCAGCCAAGGAGAUGGGCAGGUGUGUCCCUGGCGCCACGGCGCCUCGUCAUGGCUUUGCCCCUGACAGCUCAAUGCAUCUGCUCCUGCCUCAGAACAAUUCGGUGCCGGGUCGCUCCGCACUGUUUCAGGGAGAGCACAAACAGAAGCACGCCUGAUUGCAGCUGAGCCACAAGGGCCCUUCCCACCAUACACCCACCAAUGCCUCAUUGCCCCUGCUGCGCCCUGCCAUCUGCACCCGUCUGUACUUUCAUCCCUUGUUCUCCUCUGCAUUGCCUGUUCUAUCAGAGACAGUGCUAACAGUGCUUCACGUGACAGAGUACAUGCUGUUUUAUACAUCAAGAUAGUAACCCACAUAAUUUACUUUAUUUACCUUUUAAUCCAUCUAGUGAUUACUGCUGUCAAUUGCUACUAGAGCAAGGAAAUGCUCUGGUACCCGCAGUGUGCUUGUGGGACUCACUGCUACCACAUGGAUUUGCAGUAGUCGGGAGACAUUUCUAGAAAAAGCUACUCUGACUAUUUCAAAAAGUGGAUCUCCUGGGAGCAACAUCUUUGGACUACUAUGUGGGAAGAGCAGUAAUGCAUGGAAGAGAUACCUGUGACACAUGUAAACAAGAUGCUCGAAGUUACGAGAAAACAAACGCCGAAGAGGAGGGAAGAGGCACAGGGAAACCAUCAGGAAUAUAAAACAUGGGCACUUGAUUGGAAAUCUUUCAGGUAAAAUGCCAGGAAAACAACAAUGCCAGUUCCAAGGAGAGGAGCAGAGGCUGCAAUCUGCCGUGUGCAAUCACCGUUGGCUUGCCUUGUGGCUGUUGCUAAGAAGAGAUGUAGCUGUGUGCAUUGCCCAGGUCCUCUCCAAGUGACAACUCACAAGAAGGGUAAAAGAGACAACACUUAGGGGUUGGACUGGAUGACCUCCAGAGGUCCCUUCCAACCUCAAUCAUUCCACAUUUCUGUGAUUAGAAGAGGUUAUAUCUAUCUGCUUUGCUGUGGUUGCUACUCUGGUGGCUUUUGAGGAAGCCUUCUCUCCAGGUUUGUCCCACCUGGAACAUGUUGAAACAGCAUGAGCAGAGAGAUGCAAGUUGCCAAAAUCCUAAUGGUCAAAAAAAUGGCAGGUUCAGCUGCAGUUUAUGGAAACAGGCAUAAUUGUUAGGGUUCAGAGAUGGCAUCAAGCAGAGGAGCUGGCUCCCAACUCAGGAGGUCACUCAAACUCUGGGUUUGCACUGUCCAGUUUUCUCUGAGAAAUCAUGCUCAAAUGUUUUUGUGUGAUGCCAAAACCAGAAAGUAUGUAAGACUCCUCACUGAAAAAAUCAAGCAAUUAUUACAGGAUCGGGAUAAUCUCCACAUGUACAAAAUAGGAGAAGUUUGGGGCUGUUGGAAAAAGGAAAUUUUAUCUCAUUGAACUUGGUGGCAAAGAAUUCCCAACUGAAGCAUGAUUUCACCCUAUAUUAUACUCUUGUCAGUGUGGAGAUUUUUGGUUAUAGAUAAGGAUCAGCCAGGGUUUAUAACAAAGUUUAUUUUGUAGUAAGUCUGUAGCAGCAAUUAAAGUUCCAAAACAGUUUUCACAUACUAGUAAUUUAAAGAAAAGUACAUCUCUGAAGAUGUAAUUUUCCAUUUUAAUCUCCAUCCAAAGAUAUUCUUUAACUUUGGGCAAAUUCCUGUCAAACAGUUUGAGUUAUAAUUGUAUGAAAAAAGAUACUUUGCCAGAUGUAAAAAAAAAAAGAUGACUGCUGACUUUUUUCUUUCUUUUCUACAAGAUAAGCCAUGAGAGCUGACCUCUGAAGAACAGUAUAUAACUAACCACUCAGGAACUUGUUCAUAAAUGGGCUGGAAAAGUAAACUGGAAAAAAACCUUAAAUUAUUAAGCCUGAAUGCUGGGUAAUAAGAUGAACAGUCGAAAAAUGGCAAUGAGAUAUUUAAAUUCUUUUUGAUUGACAACCUGCUGCCUAAACCAUACUUGAGACAGUAAAGCUAGUACAUAUGGAUCUGGGGCUCUAUACAGAUAUAAUAGAACGGGUUAUUUCAACUUCCAGUGGAGAAACUGUGGUUGUAUUCAAUAUCACAAAUGUAAAUCUCUGAAUUGCAUCAAGCAACUUAGAAAAAAUUAUCCUAUUGCAAGGCAAAUUUGGAAGAAAGUAAUUAUUCUUUAUAUAAAAUGGUUCUGAAUAAAGAAUUAAUUUACUUAUUUGCUAAUGAAGAAUUGGUUUACUUAAUAUAUAAAUUUUUCCAGGAAUAGAGUCCUGGGGUAUCCUGAGAGGAGUGGUUGAGUAGCCGGAGACCUUUAACAUGUAGAGGUCUUUGUAGGACAUGCAAUGUAUUGAGGGAAAGAAAUCACUGAUCCAAGCUACCAUCCAGGUGUGUUUGCCAUCCUGACUGCUCAUCUCAAAAAUUUGUCAGACUUAUGCAGAGCAAAAAAUACAGACAUAAUUCCCCAUGUCCCCAGAGGUCUUUUCUGGUAUGUUUAGUUAUAUAUGGAAGAUAUAUCAACACUUUCUUGAUGCCUGACAGCACAAAAUCUUCCAAUAAGAAGCUACAGUAUCUGGUUUCAUUGUGAAAUUUUUAUAAUGUGCCAUAAAAUUUUCAGUAUUUACAACGUAUGCGAACUGGGAUCGAUUUUCUUACACUAGCACAGCAAGUACACCUCUAAGAUCCAGUUAAUGGUAGCAAGGCGCACUGGUUUAUUAUUUCAUUUUCUGAUUGUAUCUAUAUUAAAAUCAAAAUAAACUGGGAUUUUUAUUCCUCCUUA
Long non-coding RNA from Numida meleagris (helmeted guineafowl), 3545 nucleotides. RefSeq lists it as uncharacterized. The transcript is spliced from 5 exons. NCBI's taxonomy places the organism in Eukaryota, Metazoa, Chordata, Aves, Galliformes, Numididae. The record is from RefSeq and is a predicted model, not a curated record.